GUCUAUGGCUAUACCACCCUGAAUGCGCCCAAUCUCAUCUGAUCUCAGAAGCUAAGCAGGGUCGGGCCUGGUUAGUACUUGGUUGGGAGAAAUAUUUUUGUCUUAUGAAUUCUGUAAUAGAUU
This 123-nucleotide ribosomal RNA is filed under the name Chinchilla lanigera (long-tailed chinchilla). The record is from RNAcentral. Lineage: Eukaryota; Metazoa; Chordata; Mammalia; Rodentia; Chinchillidae.